GACCCAAAAGGUGGUGAACUAUGCCUGGGCAGGGCAAAGCCCAAGGAAACUCUGGUGGAGGUCCAUAGGGGUACUGACAUGCAAAUCAGUUGUCCCACCUGGGUAUAGAGCUGAAAGACUACUCACCAUACAGUUGUGGG
RNAcentral lists this non-coding RNA (140 nucleotides) under Oryctolagus cuniculus (rabbit). RNAcentral describes it as "Archaeal large subunit ribosomal RNA". It matches the Rfam family "Eukaryotic large subunit ribosomal RNA", at positions 813 to 954 of the family's 3401-position model. The record is from Rfam by way of RNAcentral. Lineage: Eukaryota; Metazoa; Chordata; Mammalia; Lagomorpha; Leporidae.